CAAAGGCUUGGUCCUGGCCUUACUGUCAGCUUCAGCUCAAUUUACACAUGCAAGUAUCCGCACCCCUGUGAGAAUGCCCCCGGUUUUCCUCAAGAAAACAAGGAGCUGGUAUCAGGCACAGUCUUAAACUAGCCCACGACACCUUGCUCAGCCACCCCCCCACGGGAAUUCAGCAGUGACAAACAUUAAGCCAUGAGUGAAAACUUGACUUAGUUAGAGCUAAGAGGGUUGGUUAAUCCCGUGCCAGCCACCGCGGUUACACGAGAGACCCGAGUCGACAGACAACGGCGUAAAGAGUGGUUAAGGCAAAUUAAGACUAAAGCCGAAGGCCCUCAAAACUGUUAUACGUUUACGAGAGUAUGAAGAUCACCUACGAAAGUGGCUUUACAAUCCCUGAACCCACGAAAGCUAUGGCACAAACUGGGAUUAGAUACCCCACUAUGCUUAGCCCUAAACAUUGAUAGUGCAUUACAAACGCUAUCCGCCCGGGUACUACGAGCAUCAGCUUAAAACCCAAAGGACUUGACGGUGCUUUAGACCCACCUAGAGGAGCCUGUUCUAGAACCGAUAAUCCACGUUAAACCUUACCUUUUCUUGUUAACCCCGCCUAUAUACCGCCGUCGUCAGCUUACCCUGCAAAGGACACAUAGUAAGCAAAGUUGGUAAGACCCAAAACGCCAGGUCGAGGUGUAGCGUAUGAAAAGGAAAGAAAUGGGCUACAUUCCGUGAUACAAUGAAUACGAAUGAUGGACUGAAAAACCCAUCUGAAGGAGGAUUUAGCAGUAAGAGGAAAGCAGAGAGUUCCCCUGAAGCAGGCCC
This 819-nucleotide ribosomal RNA is filed under the name Pseudocheilinus hexataenia (sixline wrasse). RNAcentral's name for it is "partial small subunit ribosomal RNA". It matches the Rfam family "Bacterial small subunit ribosomal RNA", at positions 7 to 1374 of the family's 1533-position model. Lineage: Eukaryota; Metazoa; Chordata; Actinopteri; Labriformes; Labridae. The record is from RNAcentral.